UGCUCUUGUCUUGUGAUCAUUCACGAACAAAUCUUUCGCCUUUUACUAAAGAUUUCCGUGGCUGCAGGACAGAAAUGGAGCUGACCCAAAUUUUUUGUUCCUCUUUUUCUUUUACGAAAGAA
Molecule: small nuclear RNA, 122 nt
Filed under: Absidia glauca
Lineage: Eukaryota; Fungi; Mucoromycota; Mucoromycetes; Mucorales; Cunninghamellaceae
Description: U5 spliceosomal RNA
Rfam family: U5 spliceosomal RNA
About the family: U5 RNA is a component of both types of known spliceosome.
Source: Rfam by way of RNAcentral